RNAcentral lists this ribosomal RNA (253 nucleotides) under uncultured bacterium. RNAcentral describes it as "partial 16S ribosomal RNA". It matches the Rfam family "Bacterial small subunit ribosomal RNA", at positions 524 to 776 of the family's 1533-position model. The record is from RNAcentral.
UACAUGUGGGGCAAGCGUUGUUCGGAAUUACUGGGCAUAAAGGGUGCGUAGGUGGCUUGUUAAGUCAGGGGUGAAAGUUUUCGGCCCAACCGGAAAAUGGCCUUUGAUACUGGCGAGCUCGAGUGCGUGAGGGGUAACCGGAACGAGCAGUGUAGCGGUGAAAUGCGUAGAUAUCAGGAGGAACACCGAUGGCGAAGGCAGGUCUCUGGGCUGACACUGACGCUCAUGCACGAAAGCGUGGGGAGCAAACAGG